UCCAACUGAUUUCAGCCGGCUUUUCUUGAUCUCACAAGCAGAGAGAGUUUCAGUGUUUCAGCGAGUUGGUUUUUUUCUUAUCUGCUACUCUGCAAACACAAGAAUUUCUGUUAGCUACUAGUUUCUUACUCUUUGGAGCGCCGUUUCAGUUUCAGUUUUUCACCAAGUUGUUUCUUAUCCGCUACCCUUCCACAUGCUUAACAGGAUUCCAUGCAUGCACUUAUUUUGAUGAAACAGCCAAAAACAUUCUGUGAGGAAAUAAUUGUCCUCAGGAAAGGGAAUAAUGGUUGCCUCGGCAUGGGGUGGAGGCCCCUGAGUGUACUCUGCCAUGAGACCCCUUCCUUCCCACUCAGGAUGUAUUUCGAAUGCAGGAGCACCCAGGGAGCAAGAGAAGCCCUGCGACAGCAGCAAGGGACACUGUGGGGCUGCAGGGUAAGUAACCCUCGUGCUCCCUCACUCUUCAAAUGAGAGCCGGGGUCCUAGAAUUGGA
This 490-nucleotide long non-coding RNA is filed under the name Homo sapiens (human). Its description in RNAcentral is "HSALNT0298945". Lineage: Eukaryota; Metazoa; Chordata; Mammalia; Primates; Hominidae. The record is from RNAcentral.